UACAUGGAUGAUUUUUCCCUAAGGCUUUUGUAGCAAGCACACGAAAAGUCUUGGUUGAAUUCGACUUUGGGGC
Molecule: microRNA precursor, 73 nt
Filed under: Mus caroli (Ryukyu mouse)
Lineage: Eukaryota; Metazoa; Chordata; Mammalia; Rodentia; Muridae
Description: microRNA 7232 (MGP_CAROLIEiJ_G0008030.1)
Source: RNAcentral